UACGUAGAGUGCAAGCGUUGUCCGGAAUUAUUGGGCGUAAAGAGCUCGUAGGCGGUCUGUCGCGUCGGCUGUGAAAACUUGGGGCUCAACCCCAAGCCUGCAGUCGAUACGGGCAGACUAGAGUGCGGUAGGGGAGACUGGAAUUCCUGGUGUAGCGGUGAAAUGCGCAGAUAUCAGGAGGAACACCGGUGGCGAAGGCGGGUCUCUGGGCCGUAACUGACGCUGAGGAGCGAAAGCGUGGGGAGCGAACAGG
RNAcentral lists this ribosomal RNA (253 nucleotides) under uncultured bacterium. RNAcentral's name for it is "partial 16S ribosomal RNA". It matches the Rfam family "Bacterial small subunit ribosomal RNA", at positions 524 to 776 of the family's 1533-position model. The record is from RNAcentral.